UACGGGGGGGGCAAGCGUUGUUCGGAUUUACUGGGCGUAAAGGGCGCGUAGGCGGUCACUACAAGUCAGUUGUGAAAUCUCUGGGCUUAACUCAGAACGGUCAACUGAUACUGUUGGACUAGAGUGCGAGAAGGGGGCAACUGGAAUUCUCGGUGUAGCGGUGAAAUGCGUAGAUAUCGAGAGGAACACCUGCGGCGAAGGCGGGUUGCUGGGCUGACACUGACGCUGAGGCGCGAAAGCUAGGGGGAGCAAAACGGG
Molecule: ribosomal RNA, 258 nt
Filed under: uncultured bacterium
Lineage: Bacteria
Description: partial 16S ribosomal RNA
Rfam family: Bacterial small subunit ribosomal RNA
Source: RNAcentral